This 845-nucleotide ribosomal RNA is filed under the name uncultured Kocuria sp. Its description in RNAcentral is "bacterial SSU rRNA". It matches the Rfam family "Bacterial small subunit ribosomal RNA", at positions 34 to 885 of the family's 1533-position model. Lineage: Bacteria; Bacillati; Actinomycetota; Actinomycetes; Micrococcales; Micrococcaceae. The record is from RNAcentral.
CGCCAUGGCGGGGUGCUACCAUGCAAGUCGAACGCUGAAGCUUGGUGCUUGCACUGGGUGGAUGAGUGGCGAACGGGUGAGUAAUACGUGAGUAACCUGCCCUUGACUCUGGGAUAAGCCUGGGAAACUGGGUCUAAUACUGGAUAUGACAUGCCACUGCAUGGUGGUGUGUGGAAAGGGUUUUACUGGUUUUGGAUGGGCUCACGGCCUAUCAGCUUGUUGGUGGGGUAAUGGCCUACCAAGGCGACGACGGGUAGCCGGCCUGAGAGGGUGACCGGCCACACUGGGACUGAGACACGGCCCAGACUCCUACGGGAGGCAGCAGUGGGGAAUAUUGCACAAUGGGCGGAAGCCUGAUGCAGCGACGCCGCGUGAGGGAUGACGGCCUUCGGGUUGUAAACCUCUUUCAGCACGGAAGAAGCGAGAGUGACGGUACGUGCAGAAGAAGCGCCGGCUAACUACGUGCCAGCAGCCGCGGUAAUACGUAGGGCGCAAGCGUUGUCCGGAAUUAUUGGGCGUAAAGAGCUCGUAGGCGGUUUGUCGCGUCUGCUGUGAAAGCCCGGGGCUUAACCCCGGGUGUGCAGUGGGUACGGGCAGACUUGAGUGCAGUAGGGGAGACUGGAAUUCCUGGUGUAGCGGUGAAAUGCGCAGAUAUCAGGAGGAACACCGAUGGCGAAGGCAGGUCUCUGGGCUGUUACUGACGCUGAGGAGCGAAAGCAUGGGGAGCGAACAGGAUUAGAUACCCUGGUAGUCCAUGCCGUAAACGUUGGGCACUAGGUGUGGGGGACAUUCCACGUUUUCCGCGCCGUAGCUAACGCAUUAAGUGCCCCGCCUGGGGAGUACGG